This 253-nucleotide ribosomal RNA is filed under the name uncultured bacterium. Its description in RNAcentral is "partial 16S ribosomal RNA". It matches the Rfam family "Bacterial small subunit ribosomal RNA", at positions 524 to 776 of the family's 1533-position model. The record is from RNAcentral.
UACGUAGGGAGCAAGCGUUGUUCGGAUUUACUGGGCGUAAAGGGCGCGUAGGCGGCAUAUUAAGUCAUCUGUGAAAUCUCCGAGCUUAACUCGGAACUGUCAGCUGAUACUGAUGUGCUAGAGUGCGGAAGGGGCAAUCGGAAUUCUUGGUGUAGCGGUGAAAUGCGUAGAUAUCAGGAGGAACACCAAUUGCGAAGGCAGCUCGCUGGGACGUUACUGACGCUGAGGAGCGAAAGCGUGGGUAGCAAACAGG